RNAcentral lists this ribosomal RNA (270 nucleotides) under uncultured archaeon. RNAcentral describes it as "partial 16S ribosomal RNA". It matches the Rfam family "Archaeal small subunit ribosomal RNA", at positions 477 to 747 of the family's 1478-position model. The record is from RNAcentral.
CAGCCCCCCGAGUGGUGGGGAUGUUUAUUUGGCCUAAAACGUCCGUAGCCGGCUCAGUAAAUCUCUCGUUAAAUUCAGCGUCCUAAGCGUUGGGCUGCGAGAGAGACUGCCGAACUAGAGGGUGGGAGAGGUCAGCGGUAUUUCUGGGGUAGGGGCGAAAUCCAUUGAUCCCAGGAGGACCACCAGUGGCGAAGGCUGCUGACUAGAACACGCCUGACGGUGAGGGACGAAAGCUGGGGUAGCGAAUCGGAUUAGAGACCCGAGUAGUCC